GGGGGAUGCCUUGGCUCUCAGAGACGAUGAAGGACGUGAUAAGCUGCGAUAAGCUGCGGGGAUUAGCACAUAUGAAUUAAUCCGCAGAUUUCCGAAUGGGACAACCCGGCCAGUUGAAGACUGGUCAUCCCGCCUCGGCGGGAAGUUAACCCAGGGAACUGAAACAUCUAAGUACCUGGAGGAAGAGAAAACAAUAGUGAUUCCGUAAGUAGUGGCGAGCGAACGCGGA
This 229-nucleotide ribosomal RNA is filed under the name uncultured Vannella. RNAcentral's name for it is "partial Bacterial large subunit ribosomal RNA". It matches the Rfam family "Bacterial large subunit ribosomal RNA", at positions 23 to 263 of the family's 2925-position model. Lineage: Eukaryota; Discosea; Flabellinia; Vannellidae. The record is from RNAcentral.